Molecule: RNA transcript, 2219 nt
Organism: Sebastes umbrosus (honeycomb rockfish)
Lineage: Eukaryota; Metazoa; Chordata; Actinopteri; Perciformes; Sebastidae
Gene: slc39a7
Gene name: solute carrier family 39 member 7
Exons: 9
Source: RefSeq, a predicted model, not a curated record
AGCGCAGAAGGAGGCGCGAUCGUCGCGCUCUCGCGAGAUUUUGAUGAGUUUACUUGAGUAAAUGCCACGUCUUCCCAGUAGCAUCAACGCAGACAGAAGCUUAAUCAAACAUAUUGCACCCAGGAGGACAGAGAGUUCUCCAGCGGCCCAGCAGACACUGCUAUCUCACACAAUCCGGGGAUAAUAUGGGCUGUAUACGUCUGCUGGCACUGACGCUGGCCACAUCUGCAGUACUCCUGUUAGCCUCCCAUUCCACAACUGCCCAUAGCCAUUCCCAUGGCGACCAUGACCAUGGCCACGCCCACGGCCACCAUCAUCAUGGACACUCCCACGGAGAAGACGAGCACCAGGAAGAAGUGAGGAUGUUCCACGGAGCGAGCAAGUGGAGCGCUGAGGCCAACCUCCCUCCACUCGAAGAGGAGCACCACGGACACGCACACGCUCAUGAUCACGGGCACGCACACGCUCAUGAUCACGGGCACGCUCAUGAUCACGGGCAUGCUCAUGAUCACGGGCACGCUCAUGAUCACGGGCACGCACACUCUCAUGAUCACGGGCACGCGCAUGAGGAGGAUGUGGUUCGGGUGCACAAGGAGGAGAGUGGACACGGACACACCCACGGAGGGGAGAGGGUGAAGAGGGAGGCAGAAGGAGAGAAGAGGGACAUGGUGGAGCUCUGGACACAGGCUAUCGGAGCGACCCUGCUGAUCAGCGCUGCUCCUUUCCUCAUCCUGUUCCUGAUCCCAGUUCAGUCCAACAGCGACCAGCACCAGAACCUGCUCAAGGUGCUGCUCAGCUUCGCCUCAGGCGGACUGCUGGGCGACGCCUUCCUCCACCUCAUACCACACGCUUUGGAGCCCCACUCUCAUCACGGAGAAGAAGAUCAUGGACACUCGCACGCAAGUGAAGAGUCACAUGACCACGGUCACUCCCACGGCGCCGCCCACGAUCACACGAUGUCGGUGGGCCUCUGGGUUCUCGGUGGGAUCAUCGCCUUCCUGGUCGUAGAGAAGUUUGUGCGGGCGCUGAAGGGAGGGCACGGCCACGGACAUUCCCACAGCCACUCACAUGCUGCUCCCAAGGAAAAGGACAGUGAUGGAGAAGAAGAGAAGGAAAAGAAGAAGAAGAAAGGGGAGAAAGACGAGGCGGUGCCAAAGAAAGAGGAGACGAAGAGCACAGAUAUCAAGGUGUCAGGUUACCUCAACCUGGCGGCCGACUUCACUCAUAAUUUCACCGACGGCCUGGCGAUCGGAGCGUCGUUCCUGGUCGGCCCGGCGGUCGGAGCCGUCACCACCCUCACCAUCCUGCUGCACGAGGUCCCGCAUGAGAUCGGGGACUUUGCCAUCCUCGUCCAGUCCGGCUGCACCAAAAGAAAGGCCAUGUGUCUACAGCUGCUGACAGCCCUGGGAGCUCUGGCCGGCACAGCUUGCUCCCUGUUGGCCGAGGGCGUGGGCGCCGCGGCGACCGCCUGGAUCCUGCCGUUCACCGCCGGCGGGUUCGUUUACAUCGCCACCGUCACCGUGCUCCCAGAGCUGCUGGCGGGCCGCACCAGUUUCGGCCAGUCCGUCAUGGAGAUCCUGGCCCUGCUGUUCGGAGUUGGCAUGAUGGUGCUGAUCGCCGAGUACGAGUGAGACGCAGCGGAGAGACAUAGGGGGGGAAAAGGUCAAAAAGCGGUUGAAAAAAAUAAUGCUGGUUUUAAGUGGAUUAUUAUUUGUCGAAGGUUUUUUUUUUUUUAUUAAUUCUGUUUUGGGAAAAACACCACCUACUGAUGGCGAAUGGAUGAUUUUGGUUGUCCUGUGUUUUUUUUAGAUUUGUGUUAAUGUUUCUUUUUUCGGCUUCUUAAAAACUGUUGGGCGGGAGAGACUGAGAGCUGGAGAGAAACCUGAGGGAAAAAGUUUUUGAAGACUGCUGUGUUGUUCAUCAGGACAGGAAGUGACAUCUUUCUGUCCGCCGGUCCCCACAAUUCUCUCGCCACUUUUCACUACACGGAUCAAUCAGCUACACUUUUACUGCGACGUAAACUGACGGCAAUCUUCCGGACCAUAACGCCAAAUCAUGACGCCAAAUCAUUUUGCAGGUGGUUGGUCGGUGAAAGAGCAGAGAAAUGACGGUUCUGACUCAGCUGUUCUCACUACGUUUAAUGUCUGUUUCAUUUGGAGAUAUUUGAAUGUUGAUAUUUUUUACAUUCCACACAAUAAAGGUAAAUGUUGUGGCUUCUA